CCUACGGAGGCAGCAGUGGGGAAUAUUGCACAAUGGGGGGAACCCUGAUGCAGCGACGCCGCGUGAGUGAAGAAGUAUUUCGGUAUGUAAAGCUCUAUCAGCAGGGAAGAAGAUGACGGUACCUGACUAAGAAGCACCGGCUAACUACGAGCCAGCAGCCGCGGUAAUACGUAGGGGGCAAGCGUUAUCCGGAUUUACUGGGUGUAAAGGGUGCGUAGUCGGCAGGGCAAGUCUGGAGUGAAAGCCCGGGGCCCAACCCCGGGACUGCUUUGGAAACUGCCAUGCUAGAGUGUUGGAGAGGGAAGCGGAAUUCCUAGUGUAGCGGUGAAAUGCGUAGAUAUUAGGAGGAACACCAGUGGCGAAGGCGGCUUACUGGACAGUAACUGACGUUGAGGCUCGAAAGCGUGGGGAGCAAACAGGAUUAGAUACCCCGGUAGUC
This 439-nucleotide ribosomal RNA is filed under the name uncultured bacterium. RNAcentral describes it as "partial 16S ribosomal RNA". It matches the Rfam family "Bacterial small subunit ribosomal RNA", at positions 338 to 795 of the family's 1533-position model. The record is from RNAcentral.